AGCCUAGCGAGACCCUACUUCGAGCCCCAAGGGACGUACAUUAAGGACGGGGAUGCAGAGAGCGAUCCCCAGGCUCUUGGAUAAUGCAGGGAGCAGGGGAAGUGGCACCCAUUGGCCAAGGCUGUGGUGGAGACAGCUCGGGCGCCAGUAGGGCGGCUCUUACCCGGAGGGUGCGGAGCUGCGGUCGGUCGGCCCGGGCCACCGCUGGGAUCCAUCCGGCGCUGCGGGGCUGCGCUUACCGUCGGCCGCAGGUUUGGGCUCAUGUUGCUGAAGGGGUCCGGUGGGAAGUGCGCGGCCCGGGUCGCCUUGUGGAAGCAGGCGGUCGGCUCUCCGCAGGAGUGUGAGCGGCUGCGGGUGGCUCGGCGCCCGGGGCUCCUUCCGGGCUCCCCGCCGACUCCGGAGGCGGCCCUGAUCGCGACCCGGGGCGAGGUGCCGUGGAGUCGCGGCGGGAGCCCAGGCCGCUGCGGACCACGCGAUCCCGCAGCCGGCGACUAGAGCCCACCUCUGCAGAGACAAAGGCAUCCAAGGUUUCAGCAAACACCAAAGAUAUGGAGGACAGACACUGGAUGUGAAUUCUUAAGCCGUGAAUUAAACAAUGUUAUUGCACAUGUAAA
This is a long non-coding RNA of Rattus norvegicus (Norway rat), 614 nucleotides long. RefSeq lists it as uncharacterized. The record is from RefSeq and is a predicted model, not a curated record. NCBI's taxonomy places the organism in Eukaryota, Metazoa, Chordata, Mammalia, Rodentia, Muridae.